Molecule: long non-coding RNA, 598 nt
Organism: Heterocephalus glaber (naked mole-rat)
Lineage: Eukaryota; Metazoa; Chordata; Mammalia; Rodentia; Bathyergidae
Source: Ensembl
CGGAUCCCCGGCCCGAGGGAUCACAACAGAUUUUUCACGACCUGCCCAACUUGUACCAAAAGGACGAGGAACCCACCGGGUUUACGCGCGCACUUGGAGAUCCGGCUCCGGCGUCCGAGUAGGUGCAGGUCGCUGCAGCCUCUCGUCUUCCAGCUUUCUGUGCUCUGCCUCGGCCGUGAGCAUCCUGAGAGGAACCAAGUUCUCUACCUGUUUAACUCUCCCCUCGUUCUCCUCCUUCCUUUUGCAGCUGGUAAAACCUGGAGAAAGUGAGACUCUGCGAGGUCCUCACCGCGUAACUGGGCAUGCCCAGUGUGCAGUGCCGGUCUGGGGAGAAAGGAGUUAACUCCAGGGGAGCUUGCAGAUUAGGUGGCAAAGUCUGAGUCUGUGGCUAUAAAUGAUGGCUUGAGUCCUGUGGACAUUUACAUUCUUGUUCUUGUUAUAUUUCUACCCCGGGUUAGUUUUGGAGAAGAAACAGCAGAUAUUUUUAUUUCAACAUCACAAACCCAAUAGCCUCAGCCUCAGAUGCCAUAAGGACAAACCAAAGACUCCUGACUCUCCCAAAGCAAAUCCAAAAGCAAUGAUAGAGAGGAAAGCAAAC